This 700-nucleotide ribosomal RNA is filed under the name uncultured bacterium. RNAcentral's name for it is "bacterial SSU rRNA". It matches the Rfam family "Bacterial small subunit ribosomal RNA", at positions 56 to 738 of the family's 1533-position model. The record is from RNAcentral.
UGCAAGUCGAGCGAGAAAGGGGCUUCGGCCCCCAGUAAAGCGGCGGACGGGUGAGUAACACGUAGGUAAUUUUCCCUUGAGCGGGGGACAACGGUCCGAAAGGACCGCUAAUACCGCAUACGUUUCUCGAGGCUCCGGCCUCGGGGAGGAAAGCUAGGUAGCAAUAUCCGGCACUCAAGGCGAGGCCUGCGUCGCAUCAGCUAGUUGGUGGGGUAAUGGCCUACCAAGGCGAAGACGCGUAGCUGGUCUGAGAGGAUGAUCAGCCACACUGGGACUGAGACACGGCCCAGACUCCUACGGGAGGCAGCAGUGGGGAAUAUUGGACAAUGGGCGCAAGCCUGAUCCAGCCACGCCGCGUGAGUGAUGAAGGCCUUCGGGUCGUAAAGCUCUGUGGGGAGGGACGAACCGCCGAUGGUGCAUAGCCAGCGGCAUGACGGUACCUCCUUAGCAAGCACCGGCUAACUUCGUGCCAGCAGCCGCGGUAAUACGAAGGGUGCAAACGUUGCUCGGAAUCAUUGGGCGUAAAGCGCACGUAGGCGGCGAAUCAAGUCGGAUGUGAAAUCCCUCGGCUCAACCAAGGAAGUGCAUCCGAAACUGUUUCGCUUGAGUACGAAAGAGGAUCGCGGAAUUCUCGGUGUAGAGGUGAAAUUCGUAGAUAUCGGGAGGAACAUCAGUGGCGAAGGCGGCGAUCUGGGUCGAU